UGGGGGAUAUUGCACAAUGGGGGAAACCCUGAUGCAGCGACGCCGCGUGAGGGAAGACGGUUUUCGGAUUGUAAACCUCUGUCUUCGGGGACGAACGAAAUGACGGUACCCGAGGAGGAAGCCACGGCUAACUACGUGCCAGCAGCCGCGGUAAUACGUAGGUGGCAAGCGUUGUCCGGAAUUACUGGGUGUAAAGGGAGCGUAGGCGGGAAUGUAAGUUGAAUGUCAAAUGCAUCGGCUCAACCGGUGUUCGCGUUCAAAACUGCGUUUCUUGAGUGAAGUAGAGGCAGGCGGAAUUCCUAGUGUAGCGGUGAAAUGCGUAGAUAUUAGGAGGAACACCAGUGGCGAAGGCGGCCUGCUGGGCUUUUACUGACGCUGAAGCUCGAAAGUGUGGGGAGCAAACA
RNAcentral lists this ribosomal RNA (404 nucleotides) under uncultured prokaryote. Its description in RNAcentral is "bacterial SSU rRNA". It matches the Rfam family "Bacterial small subunit ribosomal RNA", at positions 355 to 774 of the family's 1533-position model. The record is from RNAcentral.